Molecule: ribosomal RNA, 253 nt
Filed under: uncultured bacterium
Lineage: Bacteria
Description: partial 16S ribosomal RNA
Rfam family: Bacterial small subunit ribosomal RNA
Source: RNAcentral
UACGAAGGGGGCUAGCGUUGCUCGGAAUUACUGGGCGUAAAGCGCACGUAGGCGGACUUUUAAGUCAGGGGUGAAAUCCCGGGGCUCAACCUCGGAACUGCCUUUGAUACUGGAAGUCUUGAGUAUGGAAGAGGUAAGUGGAAUUGCGAGUGUAGAGGUGAAAUUCGUAGAUAUUCGCAGGAACACCAGUGGCGAAGGCGGCUUACUGGUCCAUUACUGACGCUGAGGUGCGAAAGCGUGGGGAGCAAACAGG